This 274-nucleotide ribosomal RNA is filed under the name uncultured bacterium. RNAcentral's name for it is "partial 16S ribosomal RNA". It matches the Rfam family "Bacterial small subunit ribosomal RNA", at positions 523 to 796 of the family's 1533-position model. The record is from RNAcentral.
AUACGGAGGGUGCAAGCGUUAAUCGGAAUUACUGGGCGUAAAGAGUACGUAGGUGGUUCGUUAAGUCAGAUGUGAAAGCCCAGGGCUCAACCUUGGAACUGCAUUUGAAACUGGCGAACUAGAGUAUGGUAGAGGGGGGUAGAAUUCAUAGUGUAGCGGUGAAAUGCGUAGAUAUUAUGAGGAAUACCAGUGGCGAAGGCGGCCCCCUGGACCAAUACUGACACUGAGGUACGAAAGCGUGGGGAGCGAACAGGAUUAGAUACCCUAGUAGUCC